GUGCUAACUUCAACAGUACAUAUACUAAUAUUGGAACGAUAUAGAGAAGAUUAACAUGGCCCCUACACAAGGAUGUCACACAAAUUCAUGAAGUGCUCCAUAUUUAA
Phyllostomus hastatus (greater spear-nosed bat) is the source of this 107-nucleotide small nuclear RNA. The record is from RefSeq and is a predicted model, not a curated record. Lineage: Eukaryota; Metazoa; Chordata; Mammalia; Chiroptera; Phyllostomidae.